RNAcentral lists this ribosomal RNA (538 nucleotides) under Sporothrix schenckii. RNAcentral's name for it is "eukaryotic LSU rRNA". It matches the Rfam family "Eukaryotic large subunit ribosomal RNA", at positions 68 to 629 of the family's 3401-position model. Lineage: Eukaryota; Fungi; Ascomycota; Sordariomycetes; Ophiostomatales; Ophiostomataceae. The record is from RNAcentral.
ACAGGGAUUGCCCCAGUAACGGCGAGUGAAGCGGCAACAGCUCAAAUUUGAAAUCUGGCCCCCCGGCCCGAGUUGUAAUUUGGAGAGGAUGCUUCUGGCGCGGCGCCGUCCGAGUUCCUUGGAACAGGACGCCACAGAGGGUGAGAGCCCCGUACGGACGGACGCCUAGCCUCUACGAAGCUCCUUCGACGAGUCGAGUAGUUUGGGAAUGCUGCUCAAAAUGGGAGGUAAAUUUCUUCUAAAGCUAAAUACCGGCCAGAGACCGAUAGCGCACAAGUAGAGUGAUCGAAAGAUGAAAAGCACUUUGAAAAGAGGGUUAAAAAGUACGUGAAAUUGUUGAAAAGGGAAGCGCCUGUGACCAGACUUGCGCCCCGCGGACCACCCGGCGUUCUCGCCGGUGCACUCUGCGGUGCGCAGGCCAGCAUCGGUUCUCCCAGGGGGACAAAGGCCGCGGGAACGUAGCUCCUUCGGGAGUGUUAUAGCCCGCGGCGGCAUGCCCCUGGGGGGACCGAGGACCGCGCUUCGGCAAGGAUGCUGC